GUAGGGAAUAUUGCGCAAUGGACGAAAGUCUGACGCAGCGACGCCGCGUGAGUGAUGAAGGCCUUAGGGUCGUAAAGCUCUGUUGAAUGGGAAGAAAAAAAUGACGGUACCAUUCGAGGAAGGACCGGCUAACUUCGUGCCAGCAGCCGCGGUAAUACGAGGGGUCCUAGCGUUGUUCGGAAUCAUUGGGCGUAAAGGGUGUGUAGGUGGCCAUGUAAGUCAGGUGUGAAAGCCCCGGGCUCAACCCGGGAAGUGCACUUGAUACUGCGUGGCUUGAGUACCGAAGAGGGUAGUGGAAUUCCAGGUGUAGUGGUGAAAUACGUAGAUAUCUGGAGGAACACCGGUGGCGAAGGCGACUCACUGGCCCGUUACUGACGCUGAGGCGCGAAAGCGUGGGGAGCAAACAGGAUUAGAAACCCGUGUAGUCC
Molecule: ribosomal RNA, 428 nt
Filed under: uncultured bacterium
Lineage: Bacteria
Description: partial 16S ribosomal RNA
Rfam family: Bacterial small subunit ribosomal RNA
Source: RNAcentral